GAAAUGCGAUAAGUAAUGUGAAUUGCAGAAUUCAGUGAAUCAUCGAAUCUUUGAACGCACCUUGCGCCCCUUGGCCAUUCCAAAGGGCAUACCUGUUUGAGUAUCAUGAACACCUCAACUCUCAUGGGUUCACCAUGAUGAGCUUGGACUUCUGGGGGUUUUGCCGGCCUAUGCCCGGCUCCUCUCAAAUGAAUCAGCUUGCCAGUGUUUGGUGGCAUCACAGGUGUGAUAACUAUCUGCGCUUGUGGCGUUCCACCAGGUAACCUCCAGCGAUGGAGGUUUGCUGGAGCUCAUAAACGUCUCUCUUUGGAGAGAGACAUCGUUUUCGAACGUUUGAUCUCAAAUCAGGUAGGACUACCCGCUGAACUUAA
This 371-nucleotide ribosomal RNA is filed under the name Thelephora sp. 347-535. RNAcentral's name for it is "eukaryotic LSU rRNA". The stretch from base 1 to 106 matches the Rfam family "5.8S ribosomal RNA", at positions 50 to 154 of the family's 154-position model. The record is from RNAcentral. Lineage: Eukaryota; Fungi; Basidiomycota; Agaricomycetes; Thelephorales; Thelephoraceae.